CAUCCUCAGUUCGGACUGGGGUCUGCAACCCGACCCCACGAAGCUGGAUUCGCUAGUAAUCGCGCAUCAGCCAUGGCGCGGUGAAUACGUUCCCGGGCCUUGUACACACCGCCCGUCAAGCCAUGAAAGCCGGGGGCGCCUGAAGUCCGUAGUCUAACCGCAAGGAGGGCGCGGCCGAAGGUGGGUUCGAUAAUUGGGGUGAAGUCGUAACAAGGUAAC
Molecule: ribosomal RNA, 219 nt
Filed under: uncultured bacterium
Lineage: Bacteria
Description: partial 16S ribosomal RNA
Rfam family: Bacterial small subunit ribosomal RNA
Source: RNAcentral